CGAGUAAGUCGAACAGCCGCGCACACAAGUCGAAAGGCUGUGUGUGAGGAAAGUCCGGGCUCCACAGGGCAAGGAUAGCGGGUAACGCCCGCCGAAGGCGACUUCAGGAAAAGUGCAACAGAGAUAUACCGCCUUGUCGUCUUGCUACGACGACGGGGUAAGGGUGGAAAGGUGAGGUAAGAGCUCACCCGCCGGCUGGAGACAGACCGGCGCUGUAAACUCUAUCCGGAGCAACACCGUGGAGGGGAACACAGGCUUGCCCGGCCUCCUCGAGGAGGUGGCUAGAGCGUAUCGGCAACGAUGCGUCGAGAUAGAUGGCUGUUUAAGACAGAAUCCGGCUUACAGACUUGCUCGCAUA
Molecule: RNase P RNA, 358 nt
Filed under: Clostridiales bacterium
Lineage: Bacteria; Bacillati; Bacillota; Clostridia; Eubacteriales
Also listed under: 1 other name
Description: RNase P RNA component class A
Rfam family: Bacterial RNase P class A
About the family: Ribonuclease P (RNase P) is a ubiquitous endoribonuclease, found in archaea, bacteria and eukarya as well as chloroplasts and mitochondria. Its best characterised activity is the generation of mature 5'-ends of tRNAs by cleaving the 5'-leader elements of precursor-tRNAs. Cellular RNase Ps are ribonucleoproteins.
Source: RNAcentral